UAGUCCACGCCGUAAACGAUGUCAACUAGCCGUUGGGAGCAUUUAAGCUCUGAGUGGCGCAGCUAACGCGAUAAGUUGGCCGCCUGGGGAGUACGCCGGCAACGGUAAAACUCAAAGGAAUUGACGGGAGCCCGCACAAGCGGUGGAGCAUGUGGUUUAAUUCGAUGCAACGCGAAAAACCUUACCUACCCUUGACAUCAUCGGAACUUGUCAGAGAUGACUCGGUGCCUUCGGGAACCGAUAGACAGGUGCUGCAUGGCUGUCGUCAGCUCGUGUCGUGAGAUGUUGGGUUAAGUCCCGCAACGAGCGCAACCCUCACUUUUAGUUGCCAUCAUUAAGUUGGGCACUCUGAAAGAACUGCCAGUGAUAAGCUGGAGGAAGGUGGGGGACGACGUCAAGUCAUCAUGGCCCUUACGUGUAGGGGCUACACACGUGCUACAAUGGGCGAGUACAGAGGGGAA
RNAcentral lists this ribosomal RNA (461 nucleotides) under uncultured bacterium. RNAcentral describes it as "bacterial SSU rRNA". It matches the Rfam family "Bacterial small subunit ribosomal RNA", at positions 791 to 1249 of the family's 1533-position model. The record is from RNAcentral.